Molecule: small RNA, 460 nt
Filed under: Pongo abelii (Sumatran orangutan)
Lineage: Eukaryota; Metazoa; Chordata; Mammalia; Primates; Hominidae
Description: processed transcript
Source: RNAcentral
GUAACAGAGACCAAGACUGUGGAGUUGGUGAUUGUGGCUGAUCACUCGGAGGUGAGCCUGCUGGCCCCUGCACAUGCUCCUCCCCCUGCACUGCCCCGCCGCCUUUCGUGUCACCUCUCUUGGCCUACAGGUCCAGAAAUACCGGGACUUCCAGCACCUGCUAAACCGCACAUUGGAAGUGGCCCUCUUGCUGGACACAGUGAGUGCUGGACAGGGCAGCCCCCACCCCAGGCCCCUGACCAUGACAACCCCUCUUCUGAGCCCCAGCUGUCUUUCAGUUCUUCCGGCCCCUGAAUGUACGAGUGGCACUAGUGGGCCUGGAGGCCUGGACCCAGCGUGACCUGGUGGAGAUCAGCCCAAACCCAGCUGUCACCCUCGAAAACUUCCUCCACUGGCGCAGGGCACAUUUGCUGCCUCGAUUGCCCCACGACAGUGCCCAGCUGGUGACGUAAGGGCCCUG